CCCGUUGAUCCUGCGGGAGGUUGCUGCUAUUAGGAUUCGACUAAGCCAUGCAAGUCAGAGGGUUCUUCGGAACACAGGCAGAAUGCUUAAUAACACGUCGGUAAUUUGCCCUUAAGUCUGGGAUAACUUUGGGAAACUGAAGCUAAAACCGGAUAGGAGAUUGAGGCUGGAAUGCGCUUUCUUUCAAAAGUAAUGCUUAAGGAUAAGCUGGCGGCUGAUUAGCUUGUUGGUGAGGUAAAGGCUCACCAAGGCGAAGAUCAGUAGGGGCCAUGAGAGUGGUAGCCCCAAGAAGGGUACUGAGACACUGACCCUAGCCCUACGGGGUGCAGCAGGCGCGAAACCUUUACAAUGCACGCAAGUGUGAUAAGGGAAUCCUAAGUGCUUAUACACUGUAUAGGCUUUUUUCAAGGGUAAAUACCUUGGAGAAUAAGUGAUGGGCAAGACGGGUGCCAGCCGCCGCGGUAACACCUGCGUCACGAGUGGGAGCCACGUUUACUGGGCCUAAAGCGUUCGUAGCCGGAAUGAUAAAUUUCUUGUGAAAUCGUCAAGCUCAACUUGACGGCGUGCAGGAAAAACUGUUAUUCUUGAGACUGGGAGGAGCUAGGAGUAUUCUAGGGGGAGCGGUAAAAUGCUAUAAUCCCUAGAGGACUACCUGUGGCGAAGGCGCCUAGCUAGAACAGGUCUGACGGUGAGGAACGAAAGCCAGGGGAGCGAUCAGGAUUAGAUACCCUAGUAGUCCUGGCUGUAAACGCUGCGAGCAAGAUGUUGCGCUUUCUUCGGGGAAGUGCAGUGUCGUAACGAAGGUGUUUAGCUCGCCGCCUGGGAAGUACGGUCGCAAGACUGAAACUUAAAGGAAUUGGCGGGGAGAUGCUACAACAGGUGCGGCGUGCGGUUUUAUCUAAUUUUACGCAGAGAAUCUCACCAGAAGCGACAGCAGUAUGAAAGUCAGAUUAAAGGUUUUACUGGACGCGCUGAGAGGUAGUGCAUGGCCGCCGUCAGCUCGUGCCGUAAGGUGUCCAUUUAAGUAUGGUAACGAGCGAGACCUGCGCCUACAAUUGCCAGCAAGUUCUUUUGAACGAUUGGGCACAUUGUGGGGACUGCCUUGGUAACAAGGAGGAAGGUGCAGGCAACGGUAGGUCUGUAUGCUCCGAAUCUUCUGGGCUACACGCGCGCAACAAUGGUAGGUACAACGGGAUGCGACUCUGAAAAGAGAAGCUAAUCCUCCAAAGCCUAUCCUAGUCUAGAUUGAGGAUUGUAACUCAUCCUCAUGACAACGGAAUCUGUAGUAAUCGGAUUUUAUCAUAGUCCGGUGAAUAUGUCCCCAUCUCUUGCACACACCGCCCAUCAAACCAACCGAGCAGGGUCUAGAUGAGGCUUAUCUUUAAGGUAACUCAAAUCUGGGCUCAGUGAGGUGGGUUAAGUUGUCACAAGGUA
This 1434-nucleotide ribosomal RNA is filed under the name metagenome. RNAcentral describes it as "bacterial SSU rRNA". It matches the Rfam family "Archaeal small subunit ribosomal RNA". The record is from RNAcentral.